GCCGAGCCGUGUAACGUGGGCUUGUAACCUAAGUGGGGGCAACAAUGUGAUGGGAUGUUAGGCUGUUUCAGAUGGCAGGGCUUCGGUUGGCAUUAGUCUGGCCUGCCCUAUCCAAGCAUGGAGUUGAGUCAUCUGGUUCAGACGAAAGUAUGGACUGCUUGUCUCUUAGAGUGGGGUGGACUGCGUGAGGCUGGUUUCACAGAGCAACGAAUAGUUCCCGCUCUAUGCAGUGGGAAGGAUAACGAGUCAGUGCUCUCCAAGUCCAACAAAAACCUGAUGGGCUGCCUAAUUAAACCACCACUUUU
RNAcentral lists this signal recognition particle RNA (305 nucleotides) under Solanum tuberosum (potato). Its description in RNAcentral is "SRP RNA Plant_SRP". It matches the Rfam family "Plant signal recognition particle RNA". Lineage: Eukaryota; Viridiplantae; Streptophyta; Magnoliopsida; Solanales; Solanaceae. The record is from Rfam by way of RNAcentral.